GGUGUUUGGCACCUCGAUGUCGGCUCAUCACAUCCUGGGGCUGAAGUAGGUCCCAAGGGUAUGGCUGUUCGCCAUUUAAAGUGGUACGCGAGCUGGGUUUAGAACGUCGUGAGACAGUUCGGUCCCUAUCUGCCGUGGGCGCUGGAGAACUGAGGGGGGCUGCUCCUAGUACGAGAGGACCGGAGUGGACGCAUCACUGGUGUUCGGGUUGUCAUGCCAAUGGCACUGCCCGGUAGCUAAAUGCGGAAGAGAUAAGUGCUGAAAGCAUCUAAGCACGAAACUUGCCCCGAGAUGAGUUCUCCCUGACUCCCUGAGAGUCCUGAAGGAACGUUGAAGACGACGACGUUGAUAGGCCGGGUGUGUAAGCGCAGCGAUGCGUUGAGCUAACCGGUACUAAUGAACCGUGAGG
RNAcentral lists this ribosomal RNA (409 nucleotides) under Escherichia coli. RNAcentral describes it as "partial 23S ribosomal RNA". It matches the Rfam family "Bacterial large subunit ribosomal RNA", at positions 2513 to 2916 of the family's 2925-position model. Lineage: Bacteria; Pseudomonadati; Pseudomonadota; Gammaproteobacteria; Enterobacterales; Enterobacteriaceae. The record is from RNAcentral.